RNAcentral lists this long non-coding RNA (457 nucleotides) under Arabidopsis thaliana (thale cress). RNAcentral describes it as "potential natural antisense gene, locus overlaps with AT2G31750 (AT2G31751)". Lineage: Eukaryota; Viridiplantae; Streptophyta; Magnoliopsida; Brassicales; Brassicaceae. The record is from RNAcentral.
GGAGAAUAAAUGUUCUUUUAUAGAACUCAAUGAUCUGCUUAUUAAUAGAGAUAAAGUAUCUUUUAUAAGACUUGUCUAAUGAUAACUGAUUGGAAAAUGCAUUAAAACAUGUAGUUAAUCCUCUUUGCAUAGCUCUUGAAACUCUUCCUGUUAGCGAAGGCACAUCAUUGUGCAACGCUUGAUGGGUCGAGGCUCGAGCAAGGCGAGAAAGGGAGAGAGAGAUAAGGCACCAAAGUCCAACGUGCAGACUGUAUCUUUCCCUCUUUUAAUCAGGUAAGUGUCUCUUUCGCCUUCCAAAACAAGUUUCACAAGACCAAGAAAAUGGAGUAAGUGUACGUGAUCUUUCUCAGGAACCGUAAAGAAGGCAUUGUGUACAUGCGUAAGAUAGGCAUGAUUGGAGCUUUUGGGGUGUGCGUCGUCUUCAACACUCCUAUUUCCAAGUAAGUAGAUUCCGAAG